AACGAACGCUGGCGGCAUGCCUAACACAUGCAAGUCGAACGCCUGUAGCAAUACAGGAGUGGCAGACGGGUGCAUAACACGUGGGAACCUACCCUUGGGUUCGGAAUAACCGCGGGAAACUGCGGCUAAUACCGGAUACGUCCUCUGGGAGAAAGAUUCAUCGCCCUUGGAGGGGCCCGCGUCGGAUUAGCUAGUUGGUGAGGUAACGGCUCACCAAGGCGACGAUCCGUAGCUGAUCUGAGAGGAUGAUCAGCCACACUGGAACUGAGACACGGUCCAGACUCCUACGGGAGGCAGCAGUGGGGAAUAUUGGACAAUGGGGGCAACCCUGAUCCAGCAAUGCCGCGUGGGUGAUGAAGGCCUUUGGGUUGUAAAGCCCUUUUGGCAGGGACGAUGAUGACGGUACCUGCAGAAUAAGCCCCGGCUAACUUCGUGCCAGCCGCCGCGGUAA
Molecule: ribosomal RNA, 451 nt
Filed under: uncultured bacterium
Lineage: Bacteria
Description: partial 16S ribosomal RNA
Rfam family: Bacterial small subunit ribosomal RNA
Source: RNAcentral